RNAcentral lists this long non-coding RNA (344 nucleotides) under Nicotiana tabacum (common tobacco). Its description in RNAcentral is "long non-coding RNA (NTAB_LNC013437)". The record is from RNAcentral. Lineage: Eukaryota; Viridiplantae; Streptophyta; Magnoliopsida; Solanales; Solanaceae.
UAGUGGAGCAAUCAGUAACCAAAUAAACAAACAAAUCACAAGACAAGUUUGCAAGACAAAUUAUUCACAUUGGCUAUGGCUUACAUAGACAAUAAGCAAAAAUUUAUCCUACUGUUAAUUUUUUCAGCACUUUUACUAUCUUCUCCUGCAGUUCUUGCUAAACGUCGCCCAAUCUCUGUAAGUUUUUUUUUUUUUUUUUUUUUGGGUAUUGGGUUUUGUAAAUCUUUUUCUUGUUAUUGAUGUUGCUUUAUCAUUAUUUUAAUAUUUUUUGGCUGUUCUUGAAUACAAAUACAGGAUGGAGAGAUCAGAGAGAAGAAACUCCAAUGUUAUGCAGAUAUUGAAAG